Molecule: non-coding RNA, 305 nt
Organism: Gorilla gorilla gorilla (western lowland gorilla)
Lineage: Eukaryota; Metazoa; Chordata; Mammalia; Primates; Hominidae
Rfam family: Metazoan signal recognition particle RNA
About the family: The signal recognition particle (SRP) is a universally conserved ribonucleoprotein. It is involved in the co-translational targeting of proteins to membranes. The eukaryotic SRP consists of a 300-nucleotide 7S RNA and six proteins: SRPs 72, 68, 54, 19, 14, and 9.
Source: Rfam
GUCGGGCGCGGUGGCACAUGCCUAUUGUCCCAGCUACUCAGAAGACUGAGGUGGGAGGAACGCUCGAGCCCAGGAGUUCUGGGCCGUAGUGUGCUAUGCCGAUUGAAUUUCCACACUAAGUUCAGCAUCAAUAUAGUGACCUCCUGGGAGCAAGAGACCACCAGGUUACCUAAGGAAAGGUGAACCAGCCCAGGUCAGAAAUGGAGCAGGUCAAAACUCCCGUGCUGAUCAGUACAGUACUGGGAGUGCACCUGUGAGUAGCCACUGCACUCCAGCCUGGGCAGCAUAAUGAGAUCCUGUCUCUA